CCUACGGGGGGCUGCAGUGGGGAAUAUUGGGCAAUGGAGGCAACUCUGACCCAGCAACGCCGCGUGAAUGAUGAAGGUCUUCGGAUUGUAAAGUUCUGUGAUGGGGGAUGAACACAAUGACGGUACCCCAAUAGCAAGCCACGGCUAACUACGUGCCAGCGGCCUCGGUAAUAAGCAGGUGGCAUGCGUUAUCCGGAAUGACUGGGCGUAAAGGGUGCGUAGGUGGUUUAGUAAGUUGGCGGUGAAAUUCCGGGGCUCAACCUCGAUGGUACCGACAAAAUUAGUAGACUAGAGUGCAGGGGGGGUAAGUGGAAUUCCUGGUGUAGCGGUGGAAUGCGUAGAUAUUAGGAGGAACAUCAGGGGCGAAGGCGACUUACUGGACUGUAACUGACACUGAGGCACGAAAGCGUGGGGAGCAAACAGGAUUAGAUACCCCUGUAGUC
RNAcentral lists this ribosomal RNA (443 nucleotides) under uncultured bacterium. RNAcentral's name for it is "partial 16S ribosomal RNA". It matches the Rfam family "Bacterial small subunit ribosomal RNA", at positions 338 to 795 of the family's 1533-position model. The record is from RNAcentral.